CACGAGAGCUGGUACUGUGCCAGAAAUUGGAUCGUCCUGUGAAGCCGAGAUGUCAUGGCCAGCGUGAACUUCAAACCGCCACAGGUAACCACUCUGCGAU
Molecule: non-coding RNA, 100 nt
Organism: Bombyx mori (domestic silkworm)
Lineage: Eukaryota; Metazoa; Arthropoda; Insecta; Lepidoptera; Bombycidae
Source: RefSeq, marked provisional